UACAUCCUAGAUGGGAAGCCCAAAACUGUAACCGAGGCGGGGGAGGUUGGAGCCAAAUGGGUGGAGGUGGCAGAAGAUCCCCAGGUCCAGAUGCCUCUCUCAUACCCUUGGAGUGAAGGGAAACCUUAAGAGUGGGUGGAAAGAAGGUUAUCGCUUGGAGGGACACUGGGGCACAAGUGUCGACUAUCCACCAAUCCCUAGUGGACCCCAAACUCAUCAACCCGGAGGCUCCAGUGACAAUUCAACCCUUCAUGUCACAGUCUGUAACCUCGCCUACAGCCAAGUUGCAUGUCCAGUAUAAGGGCUGGUCAGGAAUGUGGACUUUUGCAGUCUAUGACAAUUAUCCCAUCCCCAUGCUGCUGGGGGAAGACUUGGCCAACCAUGUGAAACUAGCCAAGAGGGUGGGAAUAGUUACCCGCAGCCAGGCUAAGCAAGCUUUCACCCCCAUCCCUGUUCCAGAGCCGGCCACCAGGGCCCCGUCUGUGUUACCAGAGACCCAGACAAAGGUGGUGGAACCGGAUCCCCUGCCAACGACUGCAACAGCUGUAGUGGAUCCAAUCCCAGAGACCCAGCCAAAGCCAGUCCCAGAACCGGAACUGGCAACACAACCAGCACCAGAACCGGCAACACAACCAGCACCAGAACCAUUGCCAGCACUGAGUACAGCAUUUGCAAACCCAUCUACAACUCCAACGCCAGGGGGCACCAGCGAGCCUGAACUGGCAGAAGCAGCAGAUAACCCUACCCAAGAGGCUCAGCCGGAGCCUGAAAUACAACAUAGUGCACCAGCGGACAGCAGUUCACAGUCAACGGAAACAGCCCCAGCACCUGCAUCGCUUCCAAAGGGACCAAGCCCAAGUCCACAGUCCAAGGAGGAACUGAUGUCUCCAGCAUCAAGAGAACAGUUCCAGGCUGAGCAGGAAGCAGAUGACAGCCUUCAGAAAGCUUGGGCGGCGGCAUGGAGCACCCCACCGCCUCUCAGCUCUUCUAACCGAUCCCGGUUUGUUGUAGAACAAGGACUUUUAUACAAGGAGACUCUUUCUGGUGGGCACCAGGAAGACUGGCAUCCUCAAAGACAGUUGGUAGUUCCCACUAAGUAUCAGGUAAAGCUCUUGAGCUUAGCCCAUGAUCAUCCUAGUGGCCAUUCUGGGGUGAACAGAACCAAAGACUGGUUGGGGAAGUCCUUCCACUGGGAGGGAAUGGGCAAGGACGUUGCUAAUUAUGUCCGGUUUUGUAAGGUGUGCCAAUGAGUGGGAAAGCCCCAAGACCAGGUUAAAGCCCCUCUCCAGCCACUACCCAUAAUUGAGGUCCCAUUUCAGCAAGUAGCUGUGGAUAUUCUGGGUCCUUUCCCAAAGAAGACACCCAGAGGAAAGCAGUACAUACUAACUUUCAU
RNAcentral lists this long non-coding RNA (1393 nucleotides) under Chrysemys picta bellii (western painted turtle). RNAcentral describes it as "lncRNA (ENSCPBG00000009132.1)". Lineage: Eukaryota; Metazoa; Chordata; Testudines; Emydidae. The record is from RNAcentral.